This 30-nucleotide small RNA is filed under the name Bombyx mori (domestic silkworm). RNAcentral describes it as "ovarian small RNA-3653". Lineage: Eukaryota; Metazoa; Arthropoda; Insecta; Lepidoptera; Bombycidae. The record is from RNAcentral.
UGAGUCGGAUACAUCGUCACCAAUAUGUGA